CAUAAUGCCCUCAAGGCCCAUUCAUAUUUUAGCAAAUGGCAGGAUGUCCUCCUUGCUCAGGGCUGACCAACAUUUCACUGUAUAGAUGAACCACAUCUUUAUCCACUCGGGAUUGUUUUCUUAAUUUGGGGGGAAUUGUACUUUUACAUGUUGAUCUUGUAUCCUACAACUUUACUGAAUUCAUGUAUUAGUUCUAACAGUUUUUUGGUGGGGUCUAGAAGGUUUUCUAUGAAUAGUGUCAUGUGCUCUCGAAACAAAUAAUUUUACUUCUUCCUUUCUUACUUGGAUUUUUUUUUAUUUCUUUUUCCUCUAACUGCUCUGGCUAGAACUUUAGAUACCAUGUUGAAAAGAAGUGGCAAGAGUGGGCAUUCUUGUCUUAUUCCUAAUUUUAGAAAAAAGCUUUAACAUUUUCAUCAUUAGCUGUGGGCUUGUCAUACACAGCCUUUAUUAUGUUGAGGUGAUUCCUAGUUUGUUGAACAUUUUUCUCAUGAAAAGGUGUUGAUUUCUGUCAACAGAGAAUUGCUAAAGCAAUCCUGAGAAGAAGAACAAAGCUGAAGAUAUCACUUCCUGACUUCAAAAGGUAUUACAGGAGUUCCCGCUGUGGCAUAGCAGAUUAAUGAUCUGGCUUGUCUCUGUGGUGGCGCCGGUUUGACCCCAGCCUGGCACAGUAGGUUAAGGAUAAGGCUGCAGCUGUAGCUCUGAUUCGAUCCCUGGCCCAGGAUUUUCCAUAUGCUGCAAGUGCGGCCGAAAAAGAAAUAUAUAUAUGCUACAAAGCCACAGGAGUUAAAACAUGGCACUCAUAUAAAAACACAUCUAUAGGCCAAAAGAACAGAUAGAUAGUCCAGAAAUAACUGUGCAUAUAUAGUCAACUGAUCUUUAACAAAGGUGUUGAGAAUACACACUGGGGAAAAAGUAGUCCCUCAACAAAUGACGUCGAGAAAAUUAAAUAUCCACAUAAAAAAAACUGAAAUUGGAUUCCCUACCUUAUACCAUACACAAAAAUCAGCUGCAAAUGGUUUGAAGACUUAAACUUAAGACCUUAAACUGUAAAACACCUAUAAAAAAAACUCAGGGGGAAAUAUUCUUGACAUUGGAGUUGGCAAUGAUUUCCUGCAUAUGAUACCAAAAGGAAAAACAGACAAGUGGGACUAUUUCAAAACUCCUACAGGAGCUAUAAAAAAAGCUCCUGCGUGGCAAAGGAAACCAUCAACAAAAUGAAAAAGCACCUUACAGAAUGGGAGAAAAUAUUUGCAAACUGUUUAUCUGAUAAGCUUAUAAUUUCCAAAACAUAAAAGUCUUCCUACAACUCAAUGGAAAACCCCAAAUAACCUGAUUAGGAAAUCAUCAAAGGACUGGAACAGACAUUUUUCCAAAGAUGAUAUACGAAUGGUCAACCCAUAUAUGAAAAGAUGCUCAACAUCAUUAUUAGGAAAUGCAAAUCAAAACUACAAUGAGGUAUCACUUCAUAUUUAUUAGGAUGACAAUUAUUAAAAAAAACACAUAAAGGAUAAAACUGUUGGCAAAGAUAUGGAGAAACUGGAGAAGCCCUUAUACACUGUUGGUGGGAAUAUAACACAGUGCAGCAGUUGUGGAAAACAGUACAGUGGUUCCUCAAAAAAUUAAAAACAGAACUACCAUAUGACCCAGCAAUCUCAGUCUUGGGUAUACACCCAAAGAACUGAAAUCAAGAUUUCAGAGAGAGAUGUUCACUCCCAUGCUAACUUCAGCAGCAUUAUUCACAACAGCCAAGAUUUGAAAACAAUCCAAGUGUCCACAGACAGAUGUAUGACUAAAGAAAAUGUGUUGCAUACAUACAAUAGAAUAUUAUUUAGCAUUAAAAAGAAGAAAACCCUUGCCAUUUGUGACAUGGAUGGACAUGUCACAACAGGACAACUACUGCCCGAUUUAUGUGGCAUCCGUAACAGUCAAAAAAAAAAAGAGGCAGAGAAUAUAAUGGAGGUUGCCAAGUGCUGAAAGGUAGGGGCACUGGAGGACUGUUGUUCAAUGGGUAUAAGGUUUCAGUCAUGUAAGAUUUAGUUCCAGAGAACUGCUGUACAACACUGUGCCUAUAGUCUACAAUACGGUGUUGUGCACUUGGGUAGAUCUCAUAUCAGGUAUUUUCAACUGCAAAACAAGUCAAAAGGACACAAGGAAACUUUGGGGAGUGUAGGAUCUGUUACUUUGAUUGUGGUGACGGUUUUACAGAUGUUUGCACAGGUCCAAACUCAUCAAAUUAUAGCCAUUAAAUAUGUACAACUGUUUAUUAUCAAUUAAAUAAAGUUGUUAAAAAAUCUCAAGGUAGGGCAGGAUCAAGGAGGAGGAGGAGUUCACCUUCUCCCACCAACACUUCAAAAAAGCCCCAUCUAUAUGUGGUACAAUUCGUACAGAACAUCUACUGAAUGCUGGCAGAAGACCUCAGAGUACCAAAAAGAGCAAGAAACCCUCUUCAUAACUGGGCAGAACAAAAGGGGGAAAAAAAAAGAGAAAGAGAGAAGAGAAAAAAAGGAAUCAGGAUGGGACUAGCAUGCCUGAGAGAGAGCUCUUAAAGAGGAAAGGUAUCUGCACCCUGGGAGGCCACCUGACUAAUAGGAAGAUCAGCUAGGAGAGAGGAAGAGCCUCAAAGCCUUGGAGAAAAGCUCAGCAGCUGAUCUGAGGAGAGCAAAGCAGACAGAGAGCUGCUUAGAUGAUCAGAAUCACUGCCCAGAGCACCACAGCCUGGGACACUCAGGUGGUGGCUGGACAUUGAGACUUGGGCUAUGGAGGUUAGAUGCAGGGAAAGGACUGGGGCUGGCUGUGUGCAAACAGCCUGAGGGGGCUGGAGAGCAGUGCACCACAGCUGAGGGAAUGUGGAGGGGAGGGUUGGGCCCACCAGAGAAACAAGGCACCAUUAUUGGAAGGGCAAGAGGGGGAAAAGCAGGAACUUCUUUCUCUGGGCAUGGGCAGGAUCUCAGGUGGCAUGGCACAACUUGCAUGAGCUAUAGGGGUGGCUGCAAACCGCUGUAGCCAUCUUGGACUUCAGGGGUGGGCAAAGCCCACACUACUAAGGGUCCCAUGAAGAGGCACUGCCUGGGGCCACAAUCACCUCUGGGACUGCCACUGCAGAGAGCCCUGCAACCAAGUGCUGCCCAUGGCCCUCACCUCUGGGAAUGCACAUGUAUUGCUGCUGCCACCAAGGGGAUCGGGGUGCCGCCCCAACCUCCCUAAGGGUCACUACCAUGGAUGAGGGCCCUACAACCAAGAGUAGACUACUACCCCCACCUCCCCAUGGGUUGACACCACUGCCAAGGGCCCAGUGACCAGGUGCUGCCUGCAGGCCCUGCCUACACCUCCCUGGAAGCAUGUGCAGGCCAAACACUUGCACACUCGCUACCAAGGGGAUAACGUCCAGCACACACUGAGGAAAAAGACAGAAACCAUCGAAGCCAAAAGAAGCCUUCAUGCCAAAAAUCAGUAACAUUCACAAGCUAUCCGGGAAUGCUCCUGCAUAUAAAUAGCCCUCUAAGACAAUAGUAGACAAUUAUUUUCCUUAAAUUCACAGAGUAAGAGAAAUAUAAGCAAGAUGAAAAAGCAGAGGAACCAUUCUGAGUUCAAAGUAUAAGAGAAUUCCCCUGAAGGAGCAAACAAUGAAACAGGCCUCUUCAGUCUGGAUUUCAAAAGGAGGUAAUGAAAAUACUGAAGAAAUUCACAAAGGCCAUGGACAGAAAUGCAGAUUACUGUACAAAGAAACUAGAAACUAUGAGGAGGAGCCAAGAUAAAUUAGAAAAUUGAUUUGCUGGAGUUCCCGUCGUGGCGCAGUGGUUAACGAAUCCGACUAGGAACCAUGAGGUUGCGGGUUCGAUCCCUGCCCUUGCUCAGUGGGUCAAGGUUCUGGCGUUGCCGUGAGCUGUGGUGUAGGUCGCAGAUGCGGCUCGGAUCCUGCGUUGCUGUGGCUCUGGCAUAGGCUGGCAGCUACAGCUCCAAUUCGACCCCUAGCCUGGAAACCUCCAUAUGCCGCGGGAGCGGCCCAAGAAAU
This 4012-nucleotide long non-coding RNA is filed under the name Sus scrofa (pig). RNAcentral describes it as "lncRNA (ENSSSCG00000058676.1)". Lineage: Eukaryota; Metazoa; Chordata; Mammalia; Artiodactyla; Suidae. The record is from RNAcentral.